This is a long non-coding RNA of Homo sapiens (human), 1730 nucleotides long. NCBI's taxonomy places the organism in Eukaryota, Metazoa, Chordata, Mammalia, Primates, Hominidae. The record is from Ensembl.
GUGAGCCAUAUUUACUUACUUAUUUUUACAUACAGGUGUGAGCCAUAUUUACUUAUUUUUACAUACAGGUGUGAGCCAUAUUUACUUACUUAUUUUUACAUACAAUACAAACACUUUAAAUAAAGUUGAAGAUCAUCUCCAUGGACCAGGUGGUCAAGCCGAACACCCAGGAUCCAGCUGUCAAGUUCAGGGUAGCCCCUGAGCUUCUCACUCUGACUCCAACAGGGUGAGCUUGCUAUCCUUGUGGCACAGGGCCUUUUGCAUUGUGGAUGAUGGAGCGGCUCGUAUAGUCCAUAAGUUUUGUGCGUAGCUGUGUACCCUGUCCCUGUGAGCUGGUUCUGCCCGGCACCUCGGUGACCUCGAGGAAAGAAGCUGAGAGACAGAGUCUUGCUUUGUCACCCAGGCUGGAGGGCAGUGGCACCAUCAUAGCUCACUGCAGACUCGAACUCCUGGGCUCAAGGGAUCCUCCUGCCUCGGCCUCCAAAAAUGGUGAGAUUAUGGACAUGAGACACUGCACUGGGCCUAUUGUGUAUCUUGUUGGCCUAAAAUUGAAACAUGCCUUGUGAGCGUUUACUGCAACUUCAAUGAGUGAUUAUUAUGUUGCCUUUAAUCCUGAGAGACUGUAUUACUUGUGCACUUUUUUUUUUUUUGGAUAGGGGGAAAUUAGAUUUAUUCCCUAUAUGUUUUAGAAAAUUGAAGUUUUAAAUAUCAGACUCACUAGCUGCCCUGAUUUAAUCUGUUACAAUUAAGUCAGUUAAAAAACUCCUCCUUGGCCGGGCAUGGUGGCUCACACCUGUAAUCCCAGCACUUUGGAAGGCCAAGGUGGGCAAAUCACUUGAGAUCAGGAGUUCGAGAUCAGCCUGGCCAACAUGAUGAAACCCUGUCUCCCCUAAAAAUACAAAAAUUAGCCAGGCGUGGUGGCGGGCGCCUGUAAUCCCAGCUACUUGGGAGGCUGAGGCAGGAGAAUCGCUUGAGCCCGGGAGGCAGAGGUUGUAGUGAGCUGAGAUUGCGCUACUGCACUCCAGCCUGGGCAACAGAGCCAGACCCUGUCUAAAACAAAACAAAACAAAACAACAACAAAACCCCCAGGACUUCCUGUACCCACAUUCUAGUGGGGAAGACAGGAAGCAAAUUAACAAACAUCUAAUAACUAUUUUUAAAAGCCAGAUAUACGAUAUUUCACGUGGAUGACCCGAUUGGCCUGCUGCGGGUCAGGGAAACAGGCUCCCAGGUCGCAUCCUCAGCUUGUUCUUGGCGCUGGAAAAAAGAUGCUACGCGGUUCCCUCCUUCAGCCACCAGAGGGCGCGCCCUCCCCGUUUGUCCUCUUUCGCGCACUUUUUCUCCCGCACCUGUCAGUCACAGGGCAGCCCUUUAGCGGAACAGGGAUCCUGUUCUGUGAUUUUCCUGAGGGCCUGCCUCUCCCAGGGAGUAGCGGGCUCCUACGAACAGUAAUAGCAACCAUAAUGUAGAGACCAAGAGCAGAGUUACUGAGUUUUAUGCUGAUGUCCAAAGUCACAGGGCAUUUCAUUUUUCUUCUUUUUUCCUUUCCUUUAAAAAAAUGGGCUGGGCAUGGUGGCUCACGCCUAUAAUCCCAGCUCUUUGGAAGGCCGAGGCGGGUGGAUCACCCGAGGUCAGGAGUUCGAGACCAGCAUGGCCAACAUGAUGAAACCCUGUCUCUACUAAAAGUACAAAAAAUUAGCUGGCUGUGGUGGUGGGCGCCCGUAAUCCCA